CCCUACUUAUAUAUAGGCAUUUUCACGUGUGUGUUGGAGCUUUGUCUGGGUAGGGGAUUCCAUGAAAGAGCUGGUUUGGAUUAAUAUCCUUCGGGUUUCUGCAUGGCGUGGCCCUGACAUUUAUCAGGCACUAGAAUAAAUCUGAAUUGUGUGUAGCGGUUGUCCAUCUACUUAGUUAUUGUAGGCAUUAUGUUUCACAUAAAUAUAGAUAUAUUUGAAUCAUGAGUAACUACAUGUCCACUCUUCGUCCAAAGUUUUUGCUUCUGCAAUAUGAUCUGACUAUUUAGGUCGCAUCCUUCUCCCUUUGCAGAUUCUAAUGCAUUUUGAAAUUGUUCAUGUGCUUCAUUUUUGCACUCUUGCUACUCUCUGGAGAAAUUAUUUGCUCUACCUAAAGCAUGGCUCCUAUGUUGGUAUUCUUGGCCAAUCUAGCUAUUUUAUGAUUAGUAAAUUGUUUGCACUAAUGUACUACCUGCUUACUCUUGGGAGUGUGGAUGACUAUGAUUUUCUUUAUGCUUAUUAUGUGCAAGCAUAGUGUUCUUUGCACAAGCAUGAUGAUGAUCGAAUAAAUUAUAGUUCUCUGAAUGCAUCCUUUUGUCAUUAGGUGAUGUUUUAGGAAAAGAUCCUUGUGUGUUGUUGAAUUGUUUACAAGAAAACAACUAUUCGGGAGUACAUAGAGAUAGAGUGCUUUUUAUUAGUAGAAGCAAUAUAGAGUUGAUGUCGAUUAGACUUACCCGGGUUUCUUCAAAUUUAAUGGUUUGUCGUAUGACAACUAUUGAACUAAAAAUAAUCUAGCGAGCAAUAAUAAAAUGAAGAAUAAGGCAUCCUAUCGCAGAAUCCUAUGAGUGAAUAGUAGCCCAAUACAGUGGCGAAAUAAAAAUGCUUUGUUUGGAUACCAGGCAAAAAAAUAGUUCACGUAGAGAGACUUUAUUAGUUGCAGAGUAACAACACUACCACAUACAAGGGUGUAAUUAAAGAGACUAACUCAUCAACUGGAGUGAGAUACUUAUUGCUCUAUUUGUAGUGAAGAUGGCCCCUUUUGGAGUGAGGCGCAGCUAUAGUUGCUCUAUGUUGUGAGAAUACCCAAGCCCUCAAAUGCCGAGAGGCUUCUCUGGUUAUGGGUUGCACAUUCAAAAAGCAAGAUUAGUACACCGGCUAGAUCUCAAGUAUGCAUCAAGCCAAAUUAUUCCAAACAUUGUUGCACUAUGCUGCAUGUAGCUUUUGGUGUGGGCUUCGUGAAUGAGAUGGCGGAGAAGAUGUCAGUGGUGGAAGAGGACAUGUUAUAGAAGAUGUCGUGGGCGGUACCGGAGGAAAUGGUCAAAUGGGGUUCCUCGGAGCGGACAAGAAGGAUGCUGCAGCAGCAUGUAUUGGGUUCCAUUUCCAUCCAGAGAAGAACUUAUGAACAGUAUGUGCGUGAUCCAUUCAUUCUUUCGUUUGAUCCUUCCUUAUUCCCCUCAACCCAAAUUCGUUUUCUUUUGCACUUACUCAUGGUUUUUAUGGAUCAAUAAAUUUAGUGACAUUAAUGGCAAUGAUAUCCAUAAACUUCACAUUGUUGUUUUUCAGCAGAAUAUGAUGUUCGUCUCUUCUUCAUAUGGACUGCAAUAAGGUCGAUGGUA
This is a long non-coding RNA of Triticum aestivum (bread wheat), 1613 nucleotides long. RefSeq lists it as uncharacterized. Lineage: Eukaryota; Viridiplantae; Streptophyta; Magnoliopsida; Poales; Poaceae. The record is from RefSeq and is a predicted model, not a curated record. The transcript is spliced from 3 exons.